UGGUGAACCAGCGGAGGGAUCAUUACUGAGUUUACGCUCUACAACCCUUUGUGAACAUACCUAUAACUGUUGCUUCGGCGGGUAGGGUCUCCGUGACCCUCCCGGCCUCCCGCCCCCGGGCGGGUCGGCGCCCGCCGGAGGAUAACCAAACUCUGAUUUAACGACGUUUCUUCUGAGUGGUACAAGCAAAUAAUCAAAACUUUUAACAACGGAUCUCUUGGUUCUGGCAUCGAUGAAGAACGCAGCGAAAUGCGAUAAGUAAUGUGAAUUGCAGAAUUCAGUGAAUCAUCGAAUCUUUGAACGCACAUUGCGCCCGCCAGCAUUCUGGCGGGCAUGCCUGUUCGAGCGUCAUUUCAACCCUCAAGCUCUGCUUGGUGUUGGGGCCCUACAGCUGAUGUAGGCCCUCAAAGGUAGUGGCGGACCCUCCCGGAGCCUCCUUUGCGUAGUAACUUUACGUCUCGCACUGGGAUCCGGAGGGACUCUUGCCGUAAAACCCCCAAUUCUCCAAAGGUUGACCUCGGAUCAGGUAGGAAUACCCGCUGAACUUAAGCAUAUC
Molecule: ribosomal RNA, 556 nt
Filed under: Colletotrichum sp. BDS-2011
Lineage: Eukaryota; Fungi; Ascomycota; Sordariomycetes; Glomerellales; Glomerellaceae
Description: eukaryotic LSU rRNA
Rfam family: 5.8S ribosomal RNA (bases 198-351)
Source: RNAcentral